This 206-nucleotide ribosomal RNA is filed under the name uncultured bacterium. RNAcentral's name for it is "partial 16S ribosomal RNA". It matches the Rfam family "Bacterial small subunit ribosomal RNA", at positions 568 to 774 of the family's 1533-position model. The record is from RNAcentral.
UACGUAGGCUGUUUUGUAGGUGAGAUGUGAAAUCCCACGGCUCAACCGUGGAACUGCGUUUCAAACCACAAAACUUGAGGGAGACAGGGGUGAGCGGAACUGAUGGUGGAGCGGUGAAAUGCGUUGAUAUCAUCAGGAACACCGGUGGCGAAGGCGGCUCACUGGGUCUCUUCUGACGCUGAGGUACGAAGCUAGGGUAGCGAACG